UACGUAUGGUGCGAGCGUUGUCCGGAAUUACUGGGCGUAAAGAGCUCGUAGGUGGUUUGUCGCGUUGUUCGUGAAAACUCACAGCUCAACUGUGGGCGUGCGGGCGAUACGGGCAGGCUAGAGUUCGGCAGGGGAGACUGGAAUUCCUGGUGUAGCGGUGAAAUGCGCAGAUAUCAGGAGGAACACCGGUGGCGAAGGCGGGUCUCUGGGCCGAUACUGACACUGAGGAGCGAAAGCGUGGGGAGCGAACAGG
RNAcentral lists this ribosomal RNA (253 nucleotides) under uncultured bacterium. RNAcentral describes it as "partial 16S ribosomal RNA". It matches the Rfam family "Bacterial small subunit ribosomal RNA", at positions 524 to 776 of the family's 1533-position model. The record is from RNAcentral.